Molecule: transfer RNA, 68 nt
Filed under: Arbacia lixula (black urchin)
Lineage: Eukaryota; Metazoa; Echinodermata; Echinoidea; Arbacioida; Arbaciidae
Description: transfer RNA-Tyr
Rfam family: tRNA
About the family: Transfer RNA (tRNA) molecules are approximately 80 nucleotides in length. Their secondary structure includes four short double-helical elements and three loops (D, anti-codon, and T loops).
Source: RNAcentral
AAGAUGGCUGAGACAUAAAGCGGUGGAUUGUAAACCCAUAAAUAUAGGUGAAACUCCUUUUCUUGUUA